Molecule: ribosomal RNA, 372 nt
Filed under: uncultured organism
Description: bacterial SSU rRNA
Rfam family: Bacterial small subunit ribosomal RNA
Source: RNAcentral
CGUAGGGUGCGAGCGUUAAUCGGAAUUACUGGGCGUAAAGCGUGCGCAGGCGGUUUGUUAAGAUAGGCGUGAAAUCCCCGGGCUCAACCUGGGAACUGCGCUUAUGACUGGCAAGCUAGAGUACGGCAGAGGGGGGUGGAAUUCCACGUGUAGCAGUGAAAUGCGUAGAGAUGUGGAGGAACACCAAUGGCGAAGGCAGCCCCCUGGGUCGAUACUGACGCUCAUGCACGAAAGCGUGGGUAGCAAACAGGAUUAGAUACCCUGGUAGUCCACGCCCUAAACGAUGUCAACCAGGUGUUGGGUGGGUAAAACCAUUUAGUACCGGAGCUAACGCGUGAAGUUGACCGCCUGGGGAGUACGGCCGCAAGGUUA